UACAGAGGUGGCAAGCGUUGUUCGGAAUUACUGGGCGUAAAGGGCGCGUAGGCGGUCUUGUAAGUCUUGUGUGAAAUCCCUCGGCUUAACUGAGGAACUGCACGGGAUACUGCAUGACUUGAGAUCGGGAGAGGGAAGCGGAAUUCCUGGUGUAGCGGUGAAAUGCGCAGAUAUCAGGAGGAACACCAAUGGCGAAGGCAGCUCGCUGGAACGGUACUGACGCUGAGGCGCGAAAGCGUGGGGAGCGAACAGG
This 253-nucleotide ribosomal RNA is filed under the name uncultured bacterium. RNAcentral describes it as "partial 16S ribosomal RNA". It matches the Rfam family "Bacterial small subunit ribosomal RNA", at positions 524 to 776 of the family's 1533-position model. The record is from RNAcentral.